This 917-nucleotide ribosomal RNA is filed under the name Phialemonium atrogriseum. Its description in RNAcentral is "eukaryotic LSU rRNA". It matches the Rfam family "Eukaryotic large subunit ribosomal RNA", at positions 1 to 953 of the family's 3401-position model. The record is from RNAcentral. Lineage: Eukaryota; Fungi; Ascomycota; Sordariomycetes; Cephalothecales; Cephalothecaceae.
CCUCGGAUCAGGUAGGACUACCCGCUGAACUUAAGCAUAUCAAUAAGCCGGAGGAAAAGAAACAACAGGAUUGCCCUAGUAACGGCGAGUGAAGCGGCAACAGCUCGAAUUUGAAAUCUGGCCUCGGCCCGAGUUGUAAUCUGUAGAGGACGCUUUUGGCGCGGUGCCUUCCGAGUUCCCUGGAACGGGACGCCACAGAGGGUGAGAGCCCCGUAAGGUCGGACACCAAGCCUGUGUAAAGCCCCUUCGACGAGUCGAGUAGCUUGGGAAUGCUGCUCUAAGCGGGAGGUAUACUUCUUCUAAAGCUAAAUAUUGGCCAGAGACCGAUAGCGCACAAGUAGAGUGAUCGAAAGAUGAAAAGCACUUUGAAAAGAGGGUCAAAUAGUACGUGAAAUUGUUGAAAGGGAAGCGCUUGUGAUCAGACUCGCGCCGGGCGGAUCAUCCAGUGGUCUCCACUGGUGCACUCCGGCCGGCGCGGGCCAGCGUCGGCUGUUGCGGGGGGACAAAAGCACUGGGAACGUAGCUCUCUCCGGGGAGUGUUAUAGCCCUCUGCAGAAUACCCCCGCGGCGGCCGAGGUCCGCGCAUUGCAAGGACGCUGGCGUAAUGGUCAUCAGCGACCCGUCUUGAAACACGGACCAAGGAGUCGAGGUUUUGCGCGAGUGUUCGGGUGCAAAGCCCCAACGCGUAAUUAACGUGAACGUAGGUGAGAGCUUCGGCGCAUCAUCGACCGAUCCUGAUGUAUUCGGAUGGAUUUGAGUAGGAGCGUAAAGCCUCGGACCCGAAAGAUGGUGAACUAUGCCUGUAUAGGGUGAAGCCAGAGGAAACUCUGGUGGAGGCUCGCAGCGGUUCUGACGUGCAAAUCGAUCGUCAAAUAUGGGCAUGGGGGCGAAAGACUAAUCGAACCAUCUAGUAGCUG